Molecule: ribosomal RNA, 460 nt
Filed under: uncultured bacterium
Lineage: Bacteria
Description: partial 16S ribosomal RNA
Rfam family: Bacterial small subunit ribosomal RNA
Source: RNAcentral
CCUACGGGCGGCAGCAGUGAGGAAUAUUGGUCAAUGGACGAGAGUCUGAACCAGCCAAGUAGCGUGAAGGAUGACUGCCCUAUGGGUUGUAAACUUCUUUUAUAUGGGAAUAAAACGUUCCACGUGUGGGAUUUUGUAUGUACCAUAUGAAUAAGGAUCGGCUAACUCCGUGCCAGCAGCCGCGGUAAUACGGAGGAUCCGAGCGUUAUCCGGAUUUAUUGGGGUUAAAGGGAGCGUAGGUGGAUUGUUAAGUCAGUUGUGAAAGUUUGCGGCUCAACCGUAAAAUUGCAGUUGAAACUGGCAGUCUUGAGUACAGUAGAGGUGGGCGGAAUUCGUGGUGUAGCGGUGAAAUGCUUAGAUAUCACGAAGAACUCCGAUUGCGAAGGCAGUUCACUGGACUGCAACUGACACUGAGGCUCGAAAGUGUGGGUAUCAAACAGGAUUAGAUACCCUAGUAGUC